GACAGAGGGUGCAAACGUUGCUCGGAAUUACUGGGCGUAAAGCGCGUGUAGGCGGACUUGCAAGUCAGAUGUGAAAUCCCCGAGCUCAACUCGGGAACUGCAUUUGAAACUGCCUGUCUUGAGUAGUGGAGAGGAAAGCAGAAUUCCUGGUGUAGAGGUGAAAUUCGUAGAUAUCAAGCGGAACACCGGUGGCGAAGGCGGCCUUCUGGACAGUGACUGACGCUGAGACGCGAAAGCGUGGGGAGCAAACAGG
This 253-nucleotide ribosomal RNA is filed under the name uncultured bacterium. RNAcentral's name for it is "partial 16S ribosomal RNA". It matches the Rfam family "Bacterial small subunit ribosomal RNA", at positions 524 to 776 of the family's 1533-position model. The record is from RNAcentral.